GGAUGUGAGGGCGAUCUGGCUGCGACAUCUGUCACCCCAUUGAUCGCCAGGGUUGAUUCGGCUGAUCUGGCUGGCUAGGCGGGUGUCCCCUUCCUCCCUCACCGCUCCAUGUGCGUCCCUCCCGAAGCUGCGCGCUCGGUGGAAGAGGACGACCUUCCCAGAUAGAAGGAGUGUACCGAUCUUCGGUCAAGGGUAUACGAUAGCUGCGCUCCCCUGCUAGAACCUCCAAACAAGCUCAAGGUCGACCAUUCCUACCAUAGAAAUAAUGAUACUAAUAAAAACCAUCUGUUCUUUACAAAUAAAAAACUUUAUAUAGUUCAAAAAUAUAAGUUUAUUU
RNAcentral lists this small nuclear RNA (337 nucleotides) under Notechis scutatus (mainland tiger snake). Its description in RNAcentral is "7SK RNA (ENSNSUG00000003622.1)". It matches the Rfam family "7SK RNA". From Rfam's summary of the family: 7SK was discovered as an abundant small nuclear RNA in the mid-70s but a possible function has only recently been suggested. Two independent studies have found that 7SK RNA binds the CDK9/cyclin T complex (known as elongation factor P-TEFb). Lineage: Eukaryota; Metazoa; Chordata; Lepidosauria; Squamata; Elapidae. The record is from RNAcentral.